RNA transcript from Harpia harpyja (harpy eagle), 8188 nucleotides. It is a transcript of the gene named potassium channel tetramerization domain containing 7, with no coding region annotated. Lineage: Eukaryota; Metazoa; Chordata; Aves; Accipitriformes; Accipitridae. The record is from RefSeq and is a predicted model, not a curated record. The transcript has 5 exons.
UUAGGAUGUCGUGAUGCCACUGGAGACACCACAGCAAUCCUGUAAACAGAGGUAGCUUUUACAUAAUGCAGUGUAAAGAGAACAGCAGGGUUUGUAGUCUAUCCUGUUCUUCUCUUUCAAUUAUUAUUUUUAUAAUGCAGCUUAUUGUUAGUCUGUCCCAUCCUCUGGUUGAAGAUGGACUGUGAAAGCAUCAUAGUUGGUGUUGCUAUGCAUUUUUUUCUGUGCAGGAAAGGAAAUUGAUAAUCAGCAGUAAACGCACAGUAUAAUAUACGGAGUUAAAUACAUGAGUAUCAGAUUUGUCUGUUUUCUCUGGUUAGAAAACUCGGUUUUCUCAUUGCACAGGAAAUGCUAGAACUGAACAGAUCGCCUUUACAGUGCCUGUCAUUGUGCAUAGCAGGAUCUGAUCCGCUUUUGCAGCUGAAGGUGAUAGACUGGGAGCUUGGUUGGGAGCAGGAGUCCGGGUGUUGCACAGCACACACAGCCAAUGAGAACAUGCAUUUCAGGACGUGCUUCUGCAGAUGGCCUAUUGCGAUGGACGGGGUGGAACAGCGGCCACCCAAAUUCACCCAGCAAAUGACAUUUUGCUGCAAAAGCGUGGCGGAGCCAAUCACAUACUGCACCACACAGCCAAUGGACGCCGGUCUCUUACCCAGCCACUGGCAGGGGGCUCUGUGACUGUAGGACCUUGGUACAGCUCUGCAAACUGCAUUCCUGCAGAGGCAGCCCUGUCAGAGUUUGUUUCUCAGCGCAGUAGUCAUCCUUGCUGUGAUUCAUUGCCCAGUAAUAGCAAUGCCAUUGUAAAUUAUCAGUGUAAAGCUGGGGAGUGACGUGCCCUGCCUGCCACGUGAUCUGCAGCUGGUAGGGAGAGUGCCUAAGUAAUUUGGGUCUUGUUUCCCAUUUAGCACUGCCACGGCUGCCUACCCAGCAGACCUGCUUACAAGAGCCAGAGGGAUGGUGGUAGUUACGGGGCAGAACAAAGUGAGUGGAAACCCGGAUGAUGCCAUGUCGAGCUCAGAUGCAGAGGAUGAUUUCCAAGAGCCAGCCACUCCUACUGCAACCCAGGCAGGACAAGCACUACCUCUGCUGCCUCAGCAGUUUCCAGAAGUUGUUCCACUAAACGUAGGAGGCAUGUAUUUUACAACAAGACUGUCAACACUGAGACGUUAUGAGGACACAAUGUUGGCGGCUAUGUUCAGUGGAAGACACUAUAUUCCAACAGAUGCUGAAGGCAGAUACUUUAUUGACAGAGAUGGAACCUACUUUGGAGACAUACUUAACUUUCUACGAUCUGGUGACCUGCCACCAAGAGAACGAGUGAGGUCAGUUUACAAGGAAGCUCAGUAUUAUUCCAUAGGACCAUUGCUAGACAAUCUAGAGGAUAUCCAGCCUCUUAAAGGAGAAAAAGUUAGACAAGCUUUCCUGGGCCUAAUGCCAUAUUACAAAGAUCAUUUGGAACGGAUAAUUGAAAUAGCAAAGCUUAGAGCUAUGCAAAGAAAAGCAAGAUUUGCAAAAUUGAAGGUCUGUGUCUUCAAAGAAGAGAUGCCCAUCACUCCCUAUGAAUGCCCACAUUUCAAUUCUUUACGUUUUGAAAGGAGUGAAAGUGAGACAAAGCUAUUUGAACAUCAUUGCGAAGUAGAUGUAUCUUUUGGCCCCUGGGAGGCUGUGGCUGAUGUAUAUGAUCUUCUGCACUGUAUUGUGACAGACCUGUCUGAUAGAGGGAUAACUGUGGAUCAUCAGUGUAUUGGUGUGUGUGAUAAACACCUGAUAAAUCACUAUUACUGCAAGCGUCCUAUCUAUGAAUUCAAGAUUACUUGGUGGUGAGUUAUUUUGUCCAGAACGGUGCGGGGGAUAAAAGGACUUCUAGAUGACAAUUGCUUUUAAUAUUUUUGCAACGUGUCUCUGGAAAUGCAUUGCUGCUAACAUAUAUUGGAAUCAGUCUGCUGAAAUGUUGGCUAACGCUUAGCUACUCAGCGAAAGGGAACCUGUUGCAGAGGUUGAAAAACCUCUGAAAUCUUGAAAAACCAGCCUGAAACAAGACUGUUGGCUCAGGUACCUUAACGAGGCACAAAACAAAAUCACCUCAUGGAAAUUAUGGAGAGGAGCGUCUAACAUCUUUUAAAAGGUGCCACCUACUAUGUGGCUUUAGUAUCAUAGUCUGCAAAACGGAUAUUGCAGAUCUCACCUGCAUUAUUAUAAAGCCGGGGUGCUGAUAAUGCUGACAUAACGUGGUUGACUUUUACCCACUUAGAAAUGUUUUAGUCACUACUUAAACUUGCCACUUUAUAAAAUUGAGUAACACCCAGCACAGAGAUUCUGGAAAUGUACUUUUGAUGUAAUAGAUCAUUAAAAAAAAAAAAAAAAAGGAGUAUUCCCUAUAUAUUAUUAAUUCUUGUCACAAUUAAGCUAUAUUUCUUUUUUAAUUAAGAAUCUGCAUUGUGAAUUAUAAUACUAUAUUUCAAUUAUUUCCAUUGUUAUAAAAAGGAAUAGCAGAUUUGGAAUAUAUUCCUUAUGCUUUUAGGAAUAAUAACUGUUCAUGGAAGACUUGUGCCUGUUUUUAGCCUUAGAAAUUCUAAAUGUUUACAGUACCUACAAAAAAAGAAGCUCUAUAGAAUCAGGUCAUUUACAAAGGCUUUUGGUAAAUGAGAAAACCCUAUAUGUAUGUUCCUAUUAGCAGAAGUAAGAGGAAUAUUUAAUGUAUAUUAUUUUAUUACUGACUGUUUUUACAUUCUGUAAUAUUAAACUUUGUUCUAGAGUUAGAGUGAAAUGAUGAUACUAGACAAGUGCUUCCUUAACCUCACCUUCUUCAAUUAAGUCUCAUUUUUAAGAUUCUUGUUGACCCUUCCUGGUGUAAUAUCAGGAAAAAAAAAUUAAACCUUCAUAUUAAAAUAUUUCUCCAAUUAUAAACCAGUAUAUCUGGGUAGUAAAUUUCUUUGCACACUGAAAGAGGCAGCCAUUGCAGAAUCGUAUUCUUCUCAGAAGGUAAUUGUUGCGCUUCUGACAUUAGUAACCACAUCCCGAACUUGAAUUAAUCUAUGUCCAAAACGGAAAGAUAGAUUUAAACAUCUAAAUAUAUUACUGUUUUGUGAGGUACAGAAAACUCAAGUAUUUUUCUAAAAGACCCUGCCUGAAGCGGCCUCAAAAUAAUCUUAAGGAGAGAGGGAAAGUAAAUGUUUGUGUAUUGCAUUCCACUAAUUAGUUAAGCCGAGAGUAUUGCUUAAUUAAACUUUUGACCAAAACACUUGAGAAAUGUGUUAAUUACAAUGAUCAAAAUUCUUAUUUACCUGAGGUAAUCUUUAGAAUAAUUCUAAGAAAUUUAUGAUCAAAUUGUCUUGCAAAAAAGAGACAAAUUGUUUGCAUUGUCACACUUUUAUAUAUUUAAUUUAGGAAUUUUUAGUAAAUUGUCUCUCUGAGGUGGGGGCCUAUAGCUCUAAUGAUCUGUUUUCAAAUGUUUACUUGCAGAGGAUUAUUGUCAAGUGCUGAGUUUCAAGUCCAGAGCUUAAAUUUUGAAAUGGAGGGAAGGAGGAAAUUAUGUGCAUUUGGAUCUUAUUUUGAGUUUGUUUAAAUUGUUUUCCUAAACAUUGGCCUUUGUGUUACAAGUUAUUGUACUUGUGUUUGACAACCCAAAAUUAAAAGUCAAACUGAGACUAGUAAAGUUUCCCUAAAAUGAGAGGAAGCUUGCAUGGUUUCUUUGCUACUCUGCUGGCUUCCCCCCCCCCCCCCCCAGGGAAUCUUAAAACUGCAAACCACAAUUUCUAAUGUAAUGGCGUAAGAUCUUAAAGCUGAGGCUGACAAAGUUUUGGCUGCUUGUACACUUCAGACAUUUAAGUUCAGGAUUUUCAGCAUCAGUUUAUUUAGCAACUACAGUGAGAAUUGCAGUUUUACUGUGUUAUUUGGUGGGUUUUGCCACUUCCCAUAUAUGUGUUUACAUGGGACAUAACUCUGGUUUGAAUUUCAGCACUACUUGUGGAAAUGGACACAGUCUGAUUUAAUGGUAUGUUUUUUGGUUUGGCUUUAAGAAUUUUUCCACUGUUAUUCUAGAGAAGCUAUGAUGACAAAAUUCGUGUUUUGAUCAUGUUUGCCAUUUCUUAAUAUGCACACACUGAUAUUUUAUAACUUUUUCCUGUUUAUUGCUUAAAUAAGUAAGGAAGACUACCUAACCAAAAAGAUAAAAUCUUGGUCUGUAUCAGUUGCAUCUUAAUUGAAGCUUUCAUCCUUCAGAUCCUCCAGAAGACAUCAAACAUUAAGUGCAAUAUUGAAAAAGAAAACACGGAUUUGAGCCAACAUGCUUUCAUUAAACACGUACAUUCUGUCUUGUGAUUUGUGCAAGUUAACAAUAUUGUUAUUGACUACACUUGUUCUAAACAGUCUUUGUUUACAAUGAUUUAGAUGAUAUUGCCUAAUAUGUAUUCAUUUUUUGACAGAAACAGAAGAGUUGUGCAGGCGGAUGUCAGGGGAGUAUAAUCUAAUAACUGGUUUAUAUAACAUUAUUGACUUAAUCUUUUCUUGGCGUAUAGCGUAAUUUUUGAAAUUCUGCAUUUGCAACAAAAAUGUGAGUAGCUGAUCUACUAAAUCCAUGUUUAAGAUGAUUGAUGUUUUUGUAUAUCAUGAAUGCUUUAUAAUUGUCUAAUUAAACUAAAUGCCUAUGUAAUAUGCUUUUUUUUAUUUAGGACUUUUCUUUUUAUCUGGCUAGGGCAGAGGUUUGCUAGAAUAUAUUUACCUAUUUCUCUGUGCUUCUCCUACUUAGUUUUUUUGCCACUUUAUCAUCUACAUAACUACUUUUCCACCCCCACACUCCCAAAUACCCUGUGUUUCCAAGCUGACACCGUAGACAAAUUGGCUGUGCAGUGAGCGGUCUCAUGUCAUCAAUAUAAUGUUGCUAUGAAUAUCAUGUUUACAGAUCAUUAAAAGGACAAUGCAUGUCAGUCCAUUUAGCUCACUCAAUUUGAAGGAAAGACAUUUUUUUAUUUCGUGUUCUGAGACAGGAUACAUGCCAUUUUUUGGUUUUUUUUCCCCUAAAUAAGAAGUCUCAAAUAUUUUCAAAGCACAGGUUGCAUAUCUGGAUUGCAGUGAUUACUCUGUUUUUUAUGAAUACUGGGGGUAAUGGUGGGACAGUUGAGGGAUAAUUAUUUAAAAUUAGAAUUUUUAGCUACUUUUUUUAGGUUGCUGUGUGUCUGAACAAAAACAUAACAAGACUCAUCUUUUUAACAUCCCUUCUAUAGGUGCAUUGUCUAGUGGUUUUUAACAGGGAGCAAAGGCAGGUCUUACUAUCAGGUUUCACAUUACGUGACUUGGCCAAUUUCACAACACAUUAAAUGUUUCUGCAUCUGUUUUACACUUGUAAAAUAGGAAGGAUACCUACUCUUCUUUAUAAAAUACUCAAAAAUUACAUGAAAAGAUACUUAUGUGCAGCAUCCACUUAAUGACUGUUGAUUUCAAGAGUUUAAAACAAAACAUUAACAUAACUUUUCAACUUGGUGCAGGCUUCUUAACUUGAAUACUACAGUACUCUACGUGGUAAUCUGAAAUACUCAUUGCUGAACUUCCAUCCUCCUUGGAGGAAAGUGAAGGUGCUGGCAUCUUUGAUCUGGGAAGCCUUUGAGCCUUUGGCAGAUUCUCUUUCAUCCUCAUGAUGCAUGUUUUCUUCUGAGACUGCUGGAUUUUUUUUUUUUUUUUAAAGCUGAUUUUUAACCAAAACCUAUAAUGAGGGAUCACUUUCUGCAUUUAUGAGGGUGUGGGUUCUUUGGUUUGUUUUGGGGGUUUCCAGGUCUUAGUUAUCCAAAUAGCAAAAGGAGUAAGUUAUUGCAGCAGAAAGUUCUGCCUACCCCCCUUUUGAUGGAAUUUUUUUAAGUUUUAGGAAGUCUGCCUGGGAGACACUUCAUGAUGUAAUAUAUGCAAAUACCUGAAUUUGUUAAUGUGGAUAUUUUUGAGGUUUUGUUCUUGUUGUUAAGUCAUGUAAUACUCUUUCCUGAAACUAGCAUGAGAGUUAAGGGUUGAGUUAAACAUUGGUUUUCUGAUAAGCAUGCUUAUGCCUUAGAUAUCGCCUGCCCCCAUUUUGUAAAAUCACUCAUCUUAGAGGUGUUCAGUGUAUGAAAAAGUAAAGGCUAUUAUAGUUACAGGAAAAUCAAGAAUCUUCCUUGAUUCUCAACAAUGAGUCCAUUAAGAGAAUCAGUACUUGCUAAUCCAACUGCAGUCUCCAUUCUUUUGCUCCGCUUAGAUGCCUAUGGCUUCAACAGUGAAACAAAGUAGUCACAGGGUUGGGUCUGGCUAACACAAGUCCUUGAAGGCAAAAGUCAAAGACUACUGUCAUAUGAGAGAUGUACUGAUUUGCAUAAGCACAUCAUCUGGCCUUCACUGAAGUGAUUGUUAAAAUUCCAGCAAACUCUGAAGGAUGUUGAUAUUUUAAACUGUUCUAAACGAUAGCGUUGUUAAACCCUAAUCUGUUUUGAGCCAGAUGGUUUCAAUGUAUGUAUUGUGAAAGCAGAGAGGUUGGCCAUUUCUUUUAUUUAUGGUUCUCUGUAUAUCUGUGUUUUCCUAGUGAAAUCUGAAGCUGAGUGAGGUUGCUGAUCACUGCCCCCCAGAACUGAAUACAGCGUGUUUCAAAUGUAUCCUGUGCAUUGAGCAUGUGCUUUUUUUUGCAAAUAUGAAAGUGGGAGGGAAUUAGUUCUGCGGUGUAUUUCCCCAGGGACAGUCCUCGCUAGCUCUGAAGGAAGACUUUGGUGAGAACUUGAUCCACACUCCCCCACAUCUCCAUUUGUUAGAUGAAGUGUAAGAGGCAUAAGGAGAUGAGGUGUCUAGCCUGAAAAGUCACAGUGAGAUGAUGACUCUGACUGGAUUCCGCCUUGGUCCUUUCCCCUUUUCUCUAACCUUUAAGAUGUAUAACUCUAUGUGCAGGAAAAGUUUUACUUCUCUCUGCUGCACCCUCAAAUUUGUUGGCAAGGUGGAUACUUAGUCUGGUUUAGACUUAAGGGAUUAUUUUAAUAUUACAAUAUGGUGACUGACAGUUGCUAAAGAAUCAGUGAAAAUCUUAGUACUGGCAAAAAUACCUGAAUAAAUGAAUCAAAAAACCUUAUUUGUAGCAUAAUCACUUUAAUUUCACUCUUCUGCUUUAUUUUUCUCUAGAGACUGUUAAGAAGUGUAAACUCUUACUUCUUUUAAGGGCUUAUAUCUGUUUCAUAGUAAUUUGUAUUCAGGCUAAGUACCUGUAUUUUGGGGUUUGAGGCCUUGUUUAUUGCUUGCUAUGAGCUGAAGGAUAAGUGCAUGAUCUCUCAUCUGUUUUGCUUUUUUUCUUAAAAAAUAGUUACUGAUAGAAUUAAAGGUCAUGAUUUUCUAGCUUCAUCUGGCAUUUGCAACCCCUGGGAACCUUGCCUCCCAACUUCAUUUUCACUGCUCAUUCUUGUUUAUAGAUGACCUGGGACAGGUGGCAUGAUGAGGAAGAUGAUGGAAGUGCCAACAGGGAAAGUCUCAUGUCAGAACUGAUUGUUUGCAUUGCAGAGUGUUCUUUCCAUUUUAUUUCAACUCUUUUGCUGUAUGAGGCAGAGGAACAUUCAUCACCAUUCAUGUGAGGUCAGGCAGAGGAUCCAGUCUGUCUGGAAGCCCAGCUAACCUCACCUGUGUUCAUCCAUUUUCUGUGUUGUUCAGGCACAGCAGAGAGGACCCGGGAUAGUACUGAGUUUUGUGCUAUGGAAACAUAAUUUAACAAAGAAAAAAAACCUCCAGUCUUUCAUUAUCUUCCUGCAAAUAAGCUAGAUUUCAGAGGGUAAUUACGUUCUGCUGCUGUCUUCUGUGUAUAGUCCUCUAACUGGAAAUUGCUUUCCGGAACAGCAGUUCUUACUCGUUUUACUUACACAAGCUUAGUAUAAGUUUACCUACACUUUCACUGUGACUUUUAUAAAUGGAUUUUGUUUUGCUGAAUUAUGAAUUGUAUGUGUCUAUGCAUUGUAACCCGUAAUGCCUUUGAAAAUCCAGCCUGGAUGGUAACAAUCAGGGUUUGGAAUUAUCUCCAAAUGUGUUUUAUUUUAAGUAAGUUGAUGUGUGAUGUUUAAUACUGUGGGUACUGUAGUGUGUUAUUUCUUACUACGUUUUGCUUUUCACUUCAGGUAAUGUAUAGUCUGUUUUUUAUUUAAAAUACAUAAAAGACAAAUGUGGAUAUGAAGUUUGUGUUGUGCAAUAAAAGUAUAUUACACUGAAA